GUGGUGGGGACUCAUGGGAGACUGCCGGGGUCAACUCGGAGGAAGGUGAGGACGACGUCAAAUCAUCAUGCCCCUUAUGUCUUGGGCUUCACGCAUGCUACAAUGGCCGGUACAAUGGGUUGCGAUACUGUGAGGUGGAGCUAAUCCCAAAAAGCCGGUCUCAGUUCGGAUUGGGGUCUGCAACUCGACCCCAUGAAGUCGGAGUCGCUAGUAAUCGCAGAUCAGCAACGCUGCGGUGAAUACGUUCCCGGGCCUUGUACACACCGCCCGUCAAGUCACGAAAGUUGGUAACACCCGAAGCCGGUGGCCUAACCCUUGUGGGGGGAGCCGUCGAAGGUGGGACCAGCGAUUGGGACU
This 357-nucleotide ribosomal RNA is filed under the name Micrococcus sp. NASA2-34. RNAcentral describes it as "bacterial SSU rRNA". It matches the Rfam family "Bacterial small subunit ribosomal RNA", at positions 1128 to 1482 of the family's 1533-position model. Lineage: Bacteria; Bacillati; Actinomycetota; Actinomycetes; Micrococcales; Micrococcaceae. The record is from RNAcentral.